This 92-nucleotide transfer RNA is filed under the name Flintibacter faecis. RNAcentral's name for it is "tRNA-Ser". It matches the Rfam family "tRNA". Rfam says of the family: Transfer RNA (tRNA) molecules are approximately 80 nucleotides in length. Their secondary structure includes four short double-helical elements and three loops (D, anti-codon, and T loops). Further hydrogen bonds mediate the characteristic L-shaped molecular structure. tRNAs have two regions of fundamental functional importance: the anti-codon, which is responsible for specific mRNA codon recognition, and the 3' end, to which the tRNAs corresponding amino acid is attached (by aminoacyl-tRNA synthetases). tRNAs cope with the degeneracy of the genetic code in two manners: having more than one tRNA (with a specific anti-codon) for a particular amino acid; and 'wobble' base-pairing, i.e. permitting non-standard base-pairing at the 3rd anti-codon position. The record is from RNAcentral. RNAcentral also lists the same sequence under 4 other names. Lineage: Bacteria; Bacillati; Bacillota; Clostridia; Eubacteriales.
GCAGAAGUACCCAAGUGGCUAUAAGGGGCUCCCCUGCUAAGGGAGUAGACGGAGAAAUCCGUGCGAGGGUUCGAAUCCCUCCUUCUGCGCCA